This 2107-nucleotide ribosomal RNA is filed under the name Candidatus Collierbacteria bacterium GW2011_GWE2_42_48. Its description in RNAcentral is "partial 23S ribosomal RNA". It matches the Rfam family "Bacterial large subunit ribosomal RNA", at positions 666 to 2910 of the family's 2925-position model. The record is from RNAcentral. Lineage: Bacteria; Candidatus Collieribacteriota.
CCGAAGGGAAACCAAGUCUUAACAGGGCGUGUAGUUGUGUUGUGUAGACCCGAAACCAGGUGAGCUAACCAUGAGCAGGCUGAAGGUUGGAGAAAUCCAACUGGAGGGCCGAACAGGUUGAUGUCGCAAAAUCAUCUGAUGACUUGUGGUUAGAGGUAAUAUGCCUAACGAACCUGGAGAUAGCUGGUUCUCCUCGAAACAUGUUUUGGCAUGGCCUCGUAUUUACGGUAUGGGGGGUAGAGUGCUGAAUGGACUUUGCGAAUAAAAUCGUAAUUUCCAACCAAACUCCGAAUACCCAUAUCAAUUGUACGGGAGUCAGUGGCUGGGGGCUAAGCUCCAGUCGCAAAAGGGAAACAUCCCAGACCCUCAAAUAAGGUCUCUAAAUAUAUAUUAAGUGGUAAAGGACGUGUCAUUUCUCAGACACCUAGGAGGUCGGCUCAGAAGCAGCCAUCCUUGAAAGAAAGCGUAACAGCUCACUAGCCGAGAGAUACACGGCCGAAGACGUAACGAGGCUAAAUAUAUUACCGAAUUUAGGGAUUCGCAUCGCAAGAUGUGAGUGGUAGAGGAGCGUUCCUGUAGCUUUGAAGGCUGACCGUAAGGUUUGCUGGAGCGGCAGGAAGUGAGAAUGCCGGCAUGAGUAGCGUAAUAAAGUGAGAAUCUUUAUAUCCGAAUGAGCAAGGUUUCCUACGCAACGUUCGUCGACGUAGGGUAAGGCGACCCUUAGGUGAGGCCAUAAUGGCGUAGCCGAUGGAUUACUGGUCGAUAUUCCAGUCCUUGUCUGUAAUCGUUAUUAACUGGGGCGGGACGAAGUUGGAUAGUCUGGGCGAUGUGUUGAAGAUACAUUCGCUUAAGCAGUUAGUCAGUCACUAUUGGCAAAUCCGUAGUGGCGUUUAUACGAGCUGUGAACACGAGUCUGCCGUAAGGUGGGCAAGUCAGAUGAUUUCAGUUUCCGAGAAAAGCGUCGCAGUGAGAGUGCAGAUAAUCCGUACCACAAACCGACACCGGUGCUCUGGUCGAGUAGACCAAGGAUAGCGAGAGAACUCUUCUUAAGGAACUCGGCAAAUUAGCUAGGCGUAAGUUCUACGAGAUGCCUUGCCCUGAGCAAUAUCAGGGCUACAACAAAAGAUUACAAAGGGGCUGUUUAACAAAAACACAGGUCUGUGCAAAAGAGAAAUCUUAAGUAUACAGGCUGAAACCUGCCCAGUGCCGGAAGGUUAAAUGCGUGGCUGAUCCAUCGCAAGAUGGCUAGGCUGCAAUUGAAGCCCCGGUGAACGGCAGCAGUAACUAUAACUGUCCUAUGGUAGCGAAAUUCCUUGUCGGGUAAGUUCCGACCUGCACGAAAGGUGAAACGACUUUGUAACUGUCUUGAGAAGAGACUCGGCGAAUUUGAAUUGGCUGUGAAGAUGCGGCCUACUUGGCACUGAAAUGUGUAAAGUAACUGUUUAGCAUAGGAGGGAGUACCAGUAUUUAUAUUGGUACAUCAAUGAAAUACCUCUCUUUGCUAUAUACGUUUCUAACCUAAUCCAAAUGCAAACUUUGGAAGGAACACUGUCUGGUGGGUAGUUUAACUGGGGAGGUUGCUUGCUAAAGAGUAACGCAAGCGCACAAAGGUACCCUUUCUCCGGAUGGAAAUCGGAGUGUAAGCGCAUAGGUAUAUGGGUGCUUAACUGUGAGACAUACAAGUCGAUCAGAUACGAAAGUAGGUCUAAGUGAUCCGAUGUCGGCUCAGCGCAUCCUGGGGCUGAAGAAGGUCCCAAGGGUUGGUCUGUUCGCCCAUUAAAGCGCUACGUGAGCUGGGUUCAAACCGUUUAGAAGUAAGACAGGUUGGUCUCUAUCCGCUGUCAGCGUGGGAUUUUUGAGGGAGUUUGUCUCCAGUACGAGAGGACCGAGAUGAGCCAUUCCCUGGUGUGCCAGUUGUUGUCGUCAGACGCAUUGCUGGGUAGCCACAAUGGUAUUGGAUAAUCGCUGAAUGCAUCUAAGCGAGAAGCCAUUCCUAAGAUGAGAAAUCCAUGUUUCGCAAGAAACGAAAGAACCGUAGUAGACCACUACGUUGAUAGGCAGAGAGUGUAAGCGGCGCAAGUCGUUUAGCUUAUCUGUACUAAUGUUC